Long non-coding RNA from Melanotaenia boesemani (Boeseman's rainbowfish), 687 nucleotides. RefSeq lists it as uncharacterized. The transcript has 3 exons. The record is from RefSeq and is a predicted model, not a curated record. Lineage: Eukaryota; Metazoa; Chordata; Actinopteri; Atheriniformes; Melanotaeniidae.
AGCGCUUUGCUCUCUGAGAUCCAGCACAUUAGUGAAAGCAGCUGAGUAGCGAACACUUUCUCAGCGCUUUAGAAGUAAAUUCAGUCAACUGCUGCUCGACAAAACACAAAGGUGUCUCUUUACGGCUGUCGCGUCUGUUGCUAGAGACCAAAACCGCUACGAGAGAGAAACGAGGCAACGCUCCACAUCCGCGCUCCUGCUCUUCCUGUUGAUGAAGAUUCAUAAUUCUGGCAUCCUCACAGAUAACAUCUAUUAAAGGCAGCUCCUCCAUUUGGGAAUCAUGGUGCCAGGAGUGCUUAAGCUCUAUGGCAUUGUAACAGGGCUCUAUGUUCUUGCGUUUUUUUAUGGCAUAGUGGACUCCUUUGGUGGUCUCAUGUACAGCCCGGACUACCGCUACAUACUGGAGCCGGAACAAACUCAGAGACAGUCAUCCUUGAGCAACGACCCCCGAAGACCAUCUAUGACUAAAAACAUUGGCUCAUAAAGGGCUUGUAAUGUAUUUGUUGUAUCCUUACCUUUAGGAAAGGCAUUGCGCACUUGUUCUGUCUGUGAACCCCAGAUCAUGUUUCUGUUUGCUCAUCUCCUGUCAAAACAAUGUUGCAGCUAAUAUAGAGUAACUACAAAAUCUUGGACUAAUGUUACUGCACUACUGAAUAAUGAUUUGCACUAAACCUUUUGUUUCUUGGA